CCUGACCCAAAGUAGGAUGCUCUUGGAGGGGUAAGAGGAAAGAGAAUCCACACCUCCAUCUGCAACAGGGAUGGACCUGGUCACCAUACCUGCCUCUGGGCAGGAUGGUUACUUCUUCAGCUCUCACCUGCGAUGGGUCUGGGGGGUAAGCCCCUACCCUGCUGUAUGUGAGGAGAAAGCCAGGGCUUGCUUUGAGAAGGUGGGAGGCUGGCUUUGCAGAAUGUGCCUGCCUUUUUGUUCCCUGGUUCCUGAGCCUACUACACUGAUGUUACUGAUGUGUAAAAGAGUGGGAUGUGUGAGGAGAGCUGACAGGCAAUGCAAAGACACGAUAACCGCAUGGAAGUGUAUUGUAGUGGCAGCAAGAGGAACUACAAAGCUCUCCACUCUGCUGGGUGGGGAACCAGUACAGCAGGACCAGUGGUAUCUCCAGGUUAUGUAACGCUCAUGAUGAAAAGCUUGUGCCAGGCUCCUUGUUAAGUUGUUGGGAUGUACUUAUCAAGAAGAACUGGGAAGACAGAGGCUGGCACAGCUACUGUUGGUCUGAUUUCUGUCUGAUUUUUUUUUUUUUUUCCCUGAAAACAAGGGAAAUAAAACCAGGCUGAUGACCAGGGCUCCUGAAAUCUGUGUUCAUGAGUACCCACUUGAUGGUACCUGAUCACACUGCUAUUCUUUACAAUGAUCCUACUCCCUGGGUGUCUUAGGAAAAGUCUACAAGAAGGAAGAAAUUAUUUGCAGUUGCCAUCACUGAACCCAAAGUGAAGCUGUGGCAGAGUGGGCCUGACUCACCCACAACAAAAUGCCAUUGCAGCUACCCAUGGUGGCCUCUCAGCUUUUGCUUCUUGUCCUGAAACUGGGAUAAAAAACCUCCAAAGGAGGCUCCCAGGAUGGCUCUCAUCAUACAAAUCCUCUGAACAGCAAAGGAACAAAUGGCUAUGUCAGGCAUGCCCAUGUCUGUUUCAGAGCUGGAUAAAAAGGCACGUCAGAUUCAGGUCCUUGCUGAACUGUGACCCCUUGCUGCCUUCCUCCUGCUCACUCCCUCCUCACUGCCCACCCACAUCUCCUGCUGUGGGUGCAGAGCGGUGUCACGCCUCUCAAAAUCUUGCUGAUCACUGAUGUUACUCAAGGGAUAAAAUCUUGCCUUUGGGGACCGAGAUUCUGUGCCCACCACAGAGCGCAGCCACUGUGGGUGUCUCCUUCCAUCUGAGUGACUUCGCUGACCCAUGGAUAUUUCAGGUGUGCAGCUGGGUGUCAAGCCAGCCAAAUGGUUGGAGUUACCUUCCUCUUUUUUUGUUUAAUUUCAGAAGAGAAAGAAAUGCAAAGACAGACAUACAGCUCAGCGAUGUUGAUGCACUGACACUAUUUUGUGAAGCGACAUAAAAUGAGGUGCUCCUCCCUAUCACCAGGUCCUUAAAAGCCUUGGGAAUGGAAAUUUAUGUGACUCUUAACCCCUCGUGUUGUUACAGACAGUGACCCCGAAUAGUUUAAUGUGGCUUUUAAAUAGCAGCUCCCCUCCCUGCUCCUUCAGGAGGCUGCUCGUGGGAGAUAAGGAGGCAGGAGCCAGUCCUAGCCUCACCUCUACUGCCGAUGGCAGACAGGCAGCUGGGGCUGCUCCUCCUAGCCCUGGGAAUGGAGUGCUCACCUGCCUCUGGACAGAAGGACCAGAUUCAUGUCAUCUUCCCCCUUUCCUCUGCAUUUAUAAGAAGGCGUUUUCCAUUUUUCUUUUCCUCUGGCAGAACUGUUCUUUGGAGGACAGCCAUGGGCCAAGUCCAGCUGAACACCUUUUUUUUUUUUUUUUUUUUUUUUGUGGUGCUAAAUACUGGCUUAAGGCUCUUGAAUUUUUCCACAUUAUCUUUGCAGGUUCUAGAAAUGUGCUUUUGUUUUCCUUAUGCAUAUUUUUCAAUAGCAGUCAGAGUUGUUCUUCCUGGCAUCUGGUAACAAUUUCACGAGGUGUCCCUUCUCUCUGUCCCACCCGGUGCUGACUGCAGUGCUGCCCCUGCCUUCCUGCUGGCUCACGGGCUGGCGGCAGCGAAAGCAACAUCACCCAAAUGGCAUAGGAUGAGAAACCCAGCUGUCAUUAACCAUGCCAUGCUCCUCAUUGCAAUGUCUGGGGCUUCAGUACUUCUGUUUCUUCCCCUUGCUCCCAGAUUGAAUGCUUUCCUUCCUAGCCAGCUUCAGUACAAAGCAGCCUCACUUAAAUCACUGCUGCAAAGAGCUGUGCACACAAAUCCCCGGCCACAAUGCUGAGUAGUGGGGAAGCAGGGCUGAACUUUGAAAGAAGUAAAGGUCUGAGCCUAUUGCUGUGGCAGAAAAAUACCAAAUGCAAUUAUUUAAGGAGAAAAGAUGAGUUCUGACAGCUGAUCUGAGCUCCGGCAGUGAGUCAGGCUCCCCUGCCACCGGGGAGACAGAGCACCAUAUCACCAAAAUCAAUGUUCUGGACUUCGUGAUGUAGUUACUGGGAUUAUUAAGAUGACUGGAUUUGCCCAUUGGAGUGUACAGGGCGAAACAUAUGGUACUAAACAAGCCAGCAAUGCAGUCAAGGGGCUUCUACACGAAGGGAUUUGUAUGUAAACAUAGCGGGGCCAGGCAAAAGCCGUGCUCCCAUAAGUUAAUUUAGCUGUGCUUGCCGUAAUGACAACAUAAUUAUAGGAGUACAAUUCGGGAGAUUUAUCUUUUUAAUUAGUAAACUCUCGUGUCCUUCAAAAAUCUCCUUUGGCAGCUAUGGAGCCACCUGCGUCAGAGUGCGGCGGGGAGCCCUUGCUUACGCACGGCACCUGCACGCGUGCUCACCCCACGCCGUGGUGCUGCCACGGCUCUGAGCAGAUGGUCCCCCAUCACACGUGGCCUUCCCGUGUCACUUGCUA
Molecule: long non-coding RNA, 2861 nt
Organism: Cygnus olor (mute swan)
Lineage: Eukaryota; Metazoa; Chordata; Aves; Anseriformes; Anatidae
Exons: 2
Source: RefSeq, a predicted model, not a curated record